GAGAGGAGACGAGGGAAGAGGGGAGGAGGAGGAGGAGGAGGUGUGUGGGAGGGUGGAGUGCCCCUCCUCCCCCUCCUUCCCCUCCCCCGUCCUUCUCUCUUC
Molecule: non-coding RNA, 102 nt
Organism: Xyrichtys novacula (pearly razorfish)
Lineage: Eukaryota; Metazoa; Chordata; Actinopteri; Labriformes; Labridae
Source: the annotation of a GenBank genome assembly